AUCCCACUGGCCUGGAGUAACGUUUGGAGCAGCCUGGCAGUGCAAUCCUUUUAGUAGCUUCCAAGGAUUUUUGGGAUCAUGGGAUACAUGGACAUACAGACCCAUGAAGCCCUCUGGAGAAUGCUGGCUGUGGAUAAAAGCAUCUUCAAGUUCUUACCAUCUCUUUACCCUGUUUUUUCCUGGAUCACCUUGUGUCAUUUGGGAAGGAAGUCUCUCUGUCCUGAGGAUUAUAGUGUACCAGUCACUUAGUGGAAUACCUCCCCAGUCAUCUUCUCGAGAUGGAGCCAUUGCUUUACCAAGCUGGAAGAUAUCUUUUCUUCUCCCAGAGCCUUUCCAGUGCAGCAGCACUCCUGUCCAGCAGGUCUCGGUUGACUGCAAAAAGGAGAAGGGAGGAGCGAGUGGAAGGGGGGUCAGAUCCUGCCAGGGUUUCCUGGGAAAUGAGGUGUAUCCACUCUUUCGAUGAUGAAGAUUGAUGAGCUGCAAUUUGGCUUGGAUUACAAUAUUUCAGAAGACUUUCUGAACUUGCCAGGCAACCCUCCCUCUAGACUUUGGGGACAGUGGAGCUUAAGUUUAUGUCUCCAGUAUCACACAGGAGAAAGAGCGUUACUUGGUUGCUUUGCACAAGUAAUGAAAAUCAGUGCUGUGUUGCCGUUGGGAGGAAUACUCAAAAGGAGAAAAGCCUGGCAUAUAGAUCUUGUUUUAGAGACAGAGUUUGUCUGGAAAGAGGGUGCUUAAGGGAAGAUACAGGAAGAAAGAGGAGAGGUGAUGCUACAAGCCAGCUUCCUGACUUCCAGAGUGGGACUGAAGCUUCAUAAUAAGAUUUUCUAACUAUGGAAGCUCUCCUGAGGAGCUACAUCACACACUGCUGCCCCUGGGAUGGGAUGCAGAGCAGGAAGUGAAGAGGAGCUGCAAUGUGCCACUGCAAGUUGCUUUCUUGAGGAGAGAGGCUUUCUGGCAUGUCAUACAGUGCCAAAAGCCAUUUUACUCUUGACAGUAAAAAUCCUUAUCCUUCUUGUGGUUUUUUUUCCAGGACAGAUGAUAUUUCCUGUUAGAGAUGCUUUGUAUGCAAAUCAAAGUAGUACAACAAGAAAAAAAGUCCUGAAAGCAAUCACACUGAUAAACUCAGCCCACUGGGGAAUUCCUGCUUAUCAUUUAUCUUUUCUUUUUUUCAGUUCUGUACAAGAUACUUCUUUGCCUCUGCUUUCUUAUGGUCUUUAAAGUUUGUCCUGCCAGACCUCUUACUCAUGAACUACAGUGCUACUUGCAUUUUGCAGGGCUCCAUGUCAAUCUGAACAAACAAAAGGCAGUAAAUGCUGAAGAUUGGUGUUAACAGUCCCUGUGUUUUAUCUUUGCCCUGCAUUGCUCUAGUGCUUUCUGAAGUUUAAGCUAGACAUGAACCUCACACUGCAGAUUGCCACAUGCCUGUAGUGAUGGUCUACUUGGGAAGCCCAGAAACUUUCAGAAAGCUCAGGAAAGGAAUGAGGAGAGCAACUAUGUGGGAGACCAGAAAGCUGGCUAAGAUGUGGACUCCUGCACUUUGGAUGUCUGAAGCUGCAUGGGGUGAACACCCCUCUCACUGCCUGCAUGAGUGAGCAGGAGUUACUGGAACAAAGCACCUAAUUCAGAACUGUCUGACACCAUCCUAGAUGAAAAUAAUAUGGAAACUUUAAUCAGCUCUCUGCAGCUGAGCAGUCCCUGGAGGUCCUGUACCAAGCCUGACCCACUUGCUGAACCCCAGCAGUGCAGCACUGGGCACUGCACCUGCUUUCAGAAGAAUGAAAGGACAGCAAUCUGAAAAGAGACAAGCACAGGGGACGGCAAUCUGUGGAAGACAUUGCUGAGAAGAAGAUUCCCAUGUGCUCUUCAGAAGGGCUGCUGAGCUGCCAAAGAAGCACCACGCUUUCUCCUUCCUGUGUGUACCCAUCCUGCUGGCUGCAGCUGGGGUGCUACCAACCCUUGCUGGAUCCCGAGAGGAUGCAAGGCUCUGUCACUCCCUGGCAUGCUGAGGCCUGGCCAGACUCCCCAGGCAGAGCGAUGCUCCAGGGCCUCUGGACAACCUCCUUCCUGGGCACAAUACACCUUGAUUUUCUGGUGUUUUUUCUUAUUUUUUAAUUUUGGCUGAUUGAAUAACUGAAGUACAAACCUCCUUCACCUAUUUGACAUUAAUUCACUGAUGGAUGGCAGAAUGUUUCAUGUUUAGUUUUUAACCCGUGGGGCGGUGAUGUGGUUAUAAGCCUCACAUCCAUGGUGUAUCUUUGAGCAAUCUGAAAAGUGUGAGUUUUUACAGAAAACAUGAGAAUGGUGGGGGAGUGUGGGAUAAAUUUUUUUAAUCCCUGAAUUUCAUUCUAAGUUUUGAACAAAUCAGAUGUAUUUCAUGGGACCAAAAAAGCUGUGAUUUUCCCCCUUUUCUUUCUUCAGUGUUGUUUUUUUGUUUUGUUUAGCUUUUUUUUUGGAAUUAAAAUGUUUACUCACAUAUAAA
This is a long non-coding RNA of Manacus vitellinus (golden-collared manakin), 2479 nucleotides long. RefSeq lists it as uncharacterized. The transcript is spliced from 6 exons. Lineage: Eukaryota; Metazoa; Chordata; Aves; Passeriformes; Pipridae. The record is from RefSeq and is a predicted model, not a curated record.